Molecule: ribosomal RNA, 871 nt
Filed under: Bacillus sp. (in: firmicutes)
Lineage: Bacteria; Bacillati; Bacillota; Bacilli; Caryophanales; Bacillaceae
Description: bacterial SSU rRNA
Rfam family: Bacterial small subunit ribosomal RNA
Source: RNAcentral
CGCUGACGGGAGCGCCCUGAGGGUAACUUCACGUAGAUGGGAUAUCUGGAGACGGGGUAAUCCGGAUACAUUUGAAUCGCUUGUGGACAUUGAACGGCAGUUCGGCUCUCUCCACUGAUGACACGGGCGCAGAGCUCAUGUUGAGUAGCGGCUCAUCAACUCACGAUGAGAGCGGCAUUAGACGGUGAUGGUGCCACACCCGAUAUUGACACGGCACCGACUCCUAUGGGAGGCGGCUCUACUGAAUGUUCUGCAAUGUCUGACAGUGUGACGGAGCGACGCCGCCGGAGUGAUGAAGGUUCUCCGUCGUUGAACUUAGUUGUUAGGGAAGAACAAUGAUAGUUGAAUAAGCUGGCACCUUGCCGGUACAUAACCAGAAAACCACGGCCCACUACCUUCCCGCAAACCAGGUAAAAAAUACGUGCCCAGCCUUAUCCUGAAAUAUAUGGGGUAAAACGCGCGCCGGUGGUUUUUUAAGUUUGAUGUGAAAGCCCCCGGCCCCACCGUGGAGGGUCAUUGGAAAACGGGAAACCUGAGGGCAGAAGAGGAAAGUGGAAUUUCCUGUGGAGCGGUGAAAAGGGUAGAGAUAUGGAGGAACACCAGUGGGGAAGGCGACUUUCUGGUCUGUAACUGACAAUGAGGAGCGAAAGGGGGGGGAGCAAACAGGAUUAGAUACCCUGGUCGUCCACGCCGUAAACGAUGAGUGCUAAGUGUUAGGGGGUUUCCGCCCUUUAGUGCUGAAGUUAACGCAUUAAGCACUCCGCCUGGGGAGUACGGCCGCAAGGAUGAAACUCAAAGGAAUUGACGGGGGCCCGCACCAGCGGUGGAGCAUGUGGUUUAAUUCGAAGCAACGAGAAGAACCUUACCAGGU